GAUGAAGAACGUAGCGAAAUGCGAUAAGUAAUGUGAAUUGCAGAAUUCAGUGAAUCAUCGAAUCUUUGAACGCACAUUGCGCCCUCUGGUAUUCCGGGGGGCAUGCCUGUUCGAGCGUCAUUAUAACCACUCAAGCUCUCGCUUGGUAUUGGGGCUCGCGGUUCCGCGGCCCCUAAAAUCAGUGGCGGUGCCUGUCGGCUCUACGCGUAGUAAUACUCCUCGCGAUUGAGUCCGGUAGGUCUACUUGCCAGCAACCCCCAAUUUUUGCAGGUUGACCUCGGAUCAGGUAGGGAUACCCGCUGAACUUAAGCAUAUCAAUAAGCGGAGGA
Molecule: unclassified non-coding RNA, 329 nt
Filed under: soil metagenome
Description: partial contains 5.8S ribosomal RNA, internal transcribed spacer 2, and large subunit ribosomal RNA
Rfam family: 5.8S ribosomal RNA (bases 1-120)
Source: RNAcentral